This 348-nucleotide unclassified non-coding RNA is filed under the name soil metagenome. RNAcentral's name for it is "partial contains 5.8S ribosomal RNA, internal transcribed spacer 2, and large subunit ribosomal RNA". The stretch from base 1 to 120 matches the Rfam family "5.8S ribosomal RNA", at positions 35 to 154 of the family's 154-position model. The record is from RNAcentral.
GAUGAAGAACGCAGCGAAAUGCGAUAAGUAAUGUGAAUUGCAGAAUUCAGUGAAUCAUCGAAUCUUUGAACGCACAUUGCGCCCGCCAGUAUUCUGGCGGGCAUGCCUGUCUGAGCGUCAUUUCAACCCUCAUGCCCCUAGGGCGUGGUGUUGGGGAUCGGCCAAAGCCCGCGAGGGACGGCCGGCCCCUAAAUCUAGUGGCGGACCCGUCGUGGCCUCCUCUGCGAAGUAGUGAUAUUCCGCAUCGGAGAGCGAUGAGCCCCUGCCGUUAAACCCCCAACUUUCCAAGGUUGACCUCAGAUCAGGUAGGAAUACCCGCUGAACUUAAGCAUAUAAAUAAGCGGAGGA